This 376-nucleotide ribosomal RNA is filed under the name uncultured Methanomicrobiales archaeon. Its description in RNAcentral is "bacterial SSU rRNA". It matches the Rfam family "Archaeal small subunit ribosomal RNA", at positions 962 to 1338 of the family's 1478-position model. The record is from RNAcentral. Lineage: Archaea; Methanobacteriati; Methanobacteriota; Methanomicrobia; Methanomicrobiales.
AAGACUCACUUGACUAGCUGAGAGGAGGUGCAUGGCCGUCGUCAGUUCGUACUGUGAAGCAUCCUGUUAAGUCAGGCAACGAGCGAGACCCACGCCAACAGUUGCCAGCUCGUCCUCCGGGAUGGUGGGGACACUGUUGGGACCGCCUCUGCUAAAGAGGAGGAAGGAAUGGGCAACGGUAGGUCAGCAUGCCCCGAAUUAUCUGGGCUACACGCGGGCUACAAUGGGUGGGACAAUGGGUAUCGACACCGAAAGGUGAAGGCAAUCUCCUAAACCCAUCCGUAGUUCGGAUUGUGGGCUGCAACUCGCCCACAUGAAGCUGGAAUCUGUAGUAAUCGUGUCUCAAAAUGGCACGGUGAAUAUGUCCCUGCUCCUU